AUGUGAACGAUCCGAUUAUUGCUCUUGAUGGUCAGGAAUUGGAUGGGAGACCAAUCAGAGUGAAUGUUGGAGAGGAAAGGCCUAGACGCAACUCCUAUUGAGUGGUAACUUGAGAGUAAUCUUCCAUGUCCGACUGAUUGAGUUCCCUUUAUACAGUGUCAAUUUUUACCUUCUUUGGCAGCUGGUUUCAGAUUGAAUUUGCAGAUCUUAUUGUUAUUAAUUNNAUGUCUAGAUGAAAAUGAUUAAAAUUUACAAUUCAAACUCUAGGGAUUUUGGAAAAACUCUUCAUUUUGUUUUCUCAACCGUUUUGUUUGCUAUUGAUGCUCGACAAUAUAAUGUUCCUUUGAAUCUUCUGGUAAAUAGAAACUGAAACGAGCAUAUUUAAGACUGA
Long non-coding RNA from Vigna radiata var. radiata (mung bean), 391 nucleotides. RefSeq lists it as uncharacterized. Lineage: Eukaryota; Viridiplantae; Streptophyta; Magnoliopsida; Fabales; Fabaceae. The transcript is spliced from 2 exons. The record is from RefSeq and is a predicted model, not a curated record.